Molecule: long non-coding RNA, 2305 nt
Organism: Cydia splendana
Lineage: Eukaryota; Metazoa; Arthropoda; Insecta; Lepidoptera; Tortricidae
Exons: 2
Source: RefSeq, a predicted model, not a curated record
ACAACGUCGUCAUUAAUUCUUGGCCUCAUAUAAAUGACAUUGUCAUUAAAAUAAACUCUAAUUACUUUCGAAUAAGGUUCAUUCCACCAUAGCAAACAAAUUGUGACGACAUAACCUGUUAUCGUCAUUGCCAUUGUGACAACGUUGCCGUUCCGAGCGAAACGUCAAAGCAACCAACUUGUAGAUGCGGGUGGUCAAAUUCACAACUAAUCAAUUCGCUGUAAUUUGCGAUAGCAGCGCCCAUUUCAACUGCAAAUGUAAGUUUGUUCAGUAUAGACGUUUCUGCGAUGAGUCAACUUAAACACGGUGUCACACUGUGUCGUUUUUCGCUUGAUAAACCACGUGUGUUUUUAAAAGCUGGAAAACGGGAUUAUGAUCAUUUCGCAGUCAGUUGCGCUGCGCACGCGUCUCGGCGUGUUUACGUUUUUUUGACUUGAUCUAUUUAUUUUUUUGUGAACAUGUUCUUGACGUUUGAAGUGAUCGCCACAUUCGGAGUGUCAGCUGUGGUAUCCUUCUCGAUAUCCUCAGCCAUUCUCCUCCUGCUGGCUGCCAAGCGCGGCCUGCUCCGAAAGCGCGAGAAGCCAGGGGUGACCAACGCUGCGCUGCUUCCACCCUCCGCCCCGCCGAAGGAGCUGCUGGCAGAACAGACGCCUUUGCAGUCUUAGAAUAUAGUUAGUUAGCAAGACGCUUUGCUGACUAUUAGACCAUUGGAACACAAACUAACCGCAUUAUAAAGCGUUUACCGUACCGUACCGUAGCGUGCGAUGGUAGCACCUGAUGUCCAUCCUUAGAUGCCAUAAGUAAAACAAAUAUCCUGACAAAAGCCCGAACGUCUACCUAAAAAUCCUGACAUUGCCUGGACGGUAAUUUCUUUAAAAAUAGCCUACUCCGACUUCGUUCACAAUCUACAUUUACGAUUAGCACGAAAAAUAAUAAGGGUCCAUUACCUAUAUCCCUUAUUCUAAAACUUUUCGUGGGCUCCUAGUCCCUUUAUGUCGCUACCAUGAACUGCAGCUGCAACUUAAACAUAUAUAACCUUCCCUUUCCUCUCUCCUCUUUCUAAGAAACCCUGACACUUGCCGCCGCAAUCCCGCAAAGGACCAAAAAUCCUGACAAUUCUGACAUGCUCAACCAUAUUUCCUAUCUUGCACUCAUGUAACUAGUCGUCAACGUGGGCUCAACUGUAGGGCUAAGAUGGUCGGCUCUUUAUCAUUUGUCACCAUGCCUGUCACGUUCUAACAAAUAUGUGAGUGCGAAAGUGUCGUAUGGCAUGACAGGUGAUAAAAAUGCGUCCAUGAUACCGCUUCUAAUCUGGGCGCGUAACCAAUCGACGUGUAAUUUUUGAUAUACUGUUACAUUAAAAUCAAGUAGUUUUUCGUCUACCCAACAAAAAUAGCUAAGUCUUGUGAAAUAUAAUGUAAUGGAGAGAAAUUUAUAAGACAAUAUUGAGGAAAGCCACAUGCAUUUAAAUAAUGUGUUUUGCAUUUGGUCAUGACCGGAUCUUACAUUAAUUUUAUAGAACUUUAAUACAUACCUACGGUUAACUUUCGACCAGCUGGCAGCGCGUAACUUUUUUUAAACAAGAUCCGUCCAUCCGCAAAAUUGUUACCUAUCUUCGAAUUAGUGAUCAGCAAUCUCAAUAUAUUUUUAACGUAUGUCUACCUACUCGUACGUACAGUAGGCGCUCGGUAUUCUGGCACGCCCAAUAAAUCCGACAAUUUAGUGACUCAGGUGACUCGUUUAAAUUAAUACUCCCGCAGUUUAGAGCGGUUUCAGACUAGCGUAUUUUUCUGCGCGUAGGAUGGCGUUACGAGCGAAGGCGCGUUACAUUUCCCUACAUUUGGUUUUUACGCGCUUACACGUGCGUUACUUUUCCGUACACGUGGUCUAAACGAGCUUACACGGGCGUCUCUUACACAGCCGAAUGCCGGAUUAUAGAACGGUUGUAUUUGACAUGUAGACUUUAUUUUCUAUAAGUCUAAAGAUUUAUUUGCCAUACUAAUCCAAUAAUCCGGCAGUUCCAACAAUAUUACGGCAUAGGGGCAAAAUUUCAAGUGAAGGAUUACCAAGUGCCUACUGUAUUUCUAAAGAGAAAAAUAAUGUAUUUAACUUAAUUUUGGAUAUUUUAUAAUAAUUGUAAUAUUAAAACUGGUAUUUUUUACCAUUUUAGUACAGAACUUCAAAUAUAUUCGAUGUAAUCACACGUGUCCGUUUAAUAGCGAGUUAGUUUUAAGUCAAAAUUGUGAUAAAUGUGCCUUAAUCGCAGCUUUUUUGUUUUUAUUGUGUAUUAAGAAUAAAUAAAUCA